UACGGGGGGGGUAAGCGUUGUUCGGAAUUACUGGGCGUAAAGCGCUCGUAGGCGGCCAACUAAGUCAGACGUGAAAUCCCUCAGCUUAACUGGGGAACUGCGUCUGAUACUGGAUGGCUUGGAUCCGGAAGAGGGAUGCGGAAUUCCAGGUGUAGCGGUGAAAUGCGUAGAUAUCUGGAGGAACACCGGUGGCGAAGGCGGCAUCCUGGGCCGGUAUUGACGCUGAGGAGCGAAAGCCAGGGGAGCAAACGGG
This 253-nucleotide ribosomal RNA is filed under the name uncultured bacterium. RNAcentral's name for it is "partial 16S ribosomal RNA". It matches the Rfam family "Bacterial small subunit ribosomal RNA", at positions 524 to 776 of the family's 1533-position model. The record is from RNAcentral.